GUCCUUUUGAAUAUAAUUUAAGGUCUAGCCUGCCCAAUGAUGAAAAUUUAAUGGCCGCAGUAUACUGACUGUGCAAAGGUAGCAUAAUCAUUAGUUUUUUAAUUGAAAGCUUGUAUGAAAGGUUUGAUGAAAAAAGAAUUGUCUCUAAAUAAAAUUUUUGAAUUUUAUUUUUAAGUUAAAAAGCUUAAAUUAGUAUUGAAGACGAGAAGACCCUAUAGAGUUUUAUUUAUGCAAUAAUAAAUUAAGUUUUAGGAUUUUAAAUUUGUAUUAUUAAGUAAAUUUAGUUGGGGUGAUUGAAAAAUUUAUUAAACUUUUUUUUUAUUUAAACAUUUAUUUAUGAAUUUUUGAUCCUUUAUAAGAUUAUAAGAUAAAAUUACCUUAGGGAUAACAGCGUAAUUUUUUUUAGAGUUCUUAUCGAAAAAAAAGAUUGCGACCUCGAUGUUGGAUUAAAAUUAAAUUUUUGGUGUAGAAGCUAAAAAAUUAGGUCUGUUCGACCUUUAAAUUUUUACAUGAUCUGAGUUUAAACCGGUGUAAG
RNAcentral lists this ribosomal RNA (535 nucleotides) under Kyklioacalles roboris. RNAcentral describes it as "partial 16S ribosomal RNA". The stretch from base 384 to 535 matches the Rfam family "Bacterial large subunit ribosomal RNA", at positions 2473 to 2625 of the family's 2925-position model. Lineage: Eukaryota; Metazoa; Arthropoda; Insecta; Coleoptera; Curculionidae. The record is from RNAcentral.